GAUGAACGCUGGCGGCGUGCCUAAUACAUGCAAGUCGAGCGAACAGACGAGGAACUUGCUCCUCUGACGUUAGCGGCGGACAGGUGAGUAACACGUGGAUAACCUACCUAUAAGACUGGGAUAACUUCGGGAAACCGGAGCUAAUACCGGAUAAUAUAUUGAACCGCAUGGUUCAAUAGUGAAAGACGGUUUUGCUGUCACUUAUAGAUGGAUCCGCGCCGCAUUAGCUAGUUGGUAAGGUAACGGCUUACCAAGGCAACGAUGCGUAGCCGACCUGAGAGGGUGAUCGGCCACACUGGAACUGAGACACGGUCCAGACUCCUACGGGAGGCAGCAGUAGGGAAUCUUCCGCAAUGGGCGAAAGCCUGACGGAGCAACGCCGCGUGAGUGAUGAAGGUCUUCGGAUCGUAAAACUCUGUUAUUAGGGAAGAACAAAUGUGUAAGUAACUAUGCACGUCUUGACGGUACCUAAUCAGAAAGCCACGGCUAACUACGUG
Molecule: ribosomal RNA, 497 nt
Filed under: uncultured bacterium
Lineage: Bacteria
Description: partial 16S ribosomal RNA
Rfam family: Bacterial small subunit ribosomal RNA
Source: RNAcentral